UACGUAGGGGGCGAGCGUUGUCCGGAAUCAUUGGGCGUAAAGCGCGCGCAGGCGGCCCUUUAAGUCUGAUGUGAAAGCCCACGGCUCAACCGUGGAGGGUCAUUGGAAACUGGGGGGCUUGAGUGCAGGAGAGGAGAGCGGAAUUCCUGGUGUAGCGGUGAAAUGCGUAGAGAUCAGGAGGAACACCGAUGGCGAAGGCAGCUCUCUGGCCUGUAACUGACGCUGAGGCGCGAAAGCGUGGGGAGCAAACAGG
This 253-nucleotide ribosomal RNA is filed under the name uncultured bacterium. Its description in RNAcentral is "partial 16S ribosomal RNA". It matches the Rfam family "Bacterial small subunit ribosomal RNA", at positions 524 to 776 of the family's 1533-position model. The record is from RNAcentral.